GAGUUUGAUCCUGGCUCAGGAUGAACGCUGGCGGCGUGCCUAAUACAUGCAAGUCGAACGGGUGCAGCGAUGUACUAGUGGCGAACGGGUGAGUAACACGUUGGUGACCUGCCCUAAAGAGGGGAAUACCACUUGGAAACGAGUGACAAAACCGCAUAAGCUGGAGGGGAUUAGAAGCCCUUCAGUAAAAGAGAAAUCUACUUUAGGAGGGGCCUGCGGCCCAUCAGCUAGUUGGAGAGGUAACGGCUCACCAAGGCGAAGACGGGUAGGGGACCUGAGAGGGUGAUCCCCCACAAUGGAACUGAAACACGGUCCAUACACCUGCGGGUGGCAGCAGUAGGGAAUAUUGCUUAAUGGGCGAAAGCCUGAAGCAGCAACGCCGCGUGAACGAAGAAGGCCUUCGGGUCGUAAAGUUCUUUUACGUGGGAUGAGGAAGGACAGUACCACGAGAAUAAGUCUCGGCUAACUACGUGCCAGCAGCCGCGGUAAAACGUAGGAGACGAGCGUUAUCCGGAUUUACUGGGCGUAAAGAGCGUGUAGGAGGCUGAGUAAGAUGGAUGUGAAAGCCCCGGGCUUAACUCGGGGAGGUCGUUCGUGACUGCUUAGCUAGAGUAAGUUAGAGGUAAACGGAACUCCGGGAGUAGUGGUGAAAUGCGUAGAUAUCCGGAAGAACAUCAGAGGCGAAAGCGGUUUACUGGGACUUAACUGACACUGAGACGCGAAAGCCAGGGUAGCAAACGGGAUUAGAGACCCCGGUAGUCCUGGCCGUAAACGAUGUAGACUGGACGUUUUGGGGAUAAAACCCCGGAGUGUCGAAGCAAACGCGAUAAGUCUACCGCCUGGGGAGUACGGUCGCAAGAUUAAAACUCAAAGGAAUUGACGGGGACCCGCACAAGCAGCGGAGCGUGUGGUUUAAUUCGAUGAUACACGAAGAACCUUACCAGGGUUUGACAUACAAGUAGUAAGAAGCCGAAAGGCGGAUGACCCCCUCUGGGGGAGCUUGAACAGGUGCUGCAUGGCUGUCGUCAGCUCGUGUCGUGAGAUGUUCGGUUAAGUCCGCUAACGAGCGCAACCCUCGUCGCGUGUUACAAGUGUCACGCGAGACCGCCGGUAGAAAGCCGGAGGAAGGUGGGGAUGACGUCAAGUCAGCAUGGCCUUUAUAUCCUGGGCUACACACACGCUACAAUGGCCGAUACAGUGGGUAGCGAAGCCGCGAGGCGGAGCCAAUCCUAAAAAGUCGGUCGUAGUUCAGAUUGCAGGCUGCAACCCGCCUGCAUGAAGAUGGAGUUGCUAGUAACCGUAGGUCAGCGAUACUACGGUGAAUACGUUCCCGGGCCUUGUACACACCGCCCGUCACGUCAUGGGAGUUGGCAACACCUGAAGCCGGUAUCCUAACCGCAAGGAGGGAGCCGUCAAAGGUGGGGUUGAUAACUGGGACGAAGUCGUAACAAGG
This 1453-nucleotide ribosomal RNA is filed under the name Chloroflexi bacterium canine oral taxon COT-408. Its description in RNAcentral is "bacterial SSU rRNA". It matches the Rfam family "Bacterial small subunit ribosomal RNA". Lineage: Bacteria; Bacillati; Chloroflexota. The record is from RNAcentral.